This 485-nucleotide ribosomal RNA is filed under the name uncultured bacterium. Its description in RNAcentral is "partial 16S ribosomal RNA". It matches the Rfam family "Bacterial small subunit ribosomal RNA", at positions 30 to 508 of the family's 1533-position model. The record is from RNAcentral.
AUUGAACGCUGGCGGCAGGCCUAACACAUGCAAGUCGAGCGGAUGAAGGGAGCUUGCUCCUGGAUUCAGCGGCGGACGGGCGAGUAAUGCCUAGGAAUCUGCCUGGUAGUGGGGGAUAACGUCCGGAAACGGGCGCUAAUACCGCAUACGUCCUGAGGGAGAAAGUGGGGGAUCUUCGGACCUAACGCUAUCAGAUGAGCCUAGGUCGGAUUAGCUAGUUGGAUGGGUAAAGGCCUACCAAGGCGACGAUCCGUAACUGGUCUGAGAGGAUGAUCAGUCAAACUGGAAAUGGGAAACGGUCCAGGCUCCUACGGGAGGCAGCAGUGGGGAAUAUUGGACAAUGGGGGGAAGCCUGGACCAGCCAUGCCGGGUGUGUGAAGGAGGUCUUCGGAUUGGAAAGCACCUGAAAUUGGGAGGAAAGGCAGUAGGUUGAUACCUUGCUGUUUUGACGUUAACAACAGAAUAAGCACCCGCUAACUUCGUGC